RNAcentral lists this ribosomal RNA (2019 nucleotides) under Campylobacter coli. RNAcentral's name for it is "partial 23S ribosomal RNA". It matches the Rfam family "Bacterial large subunit ribosomal RNA", at positions 1068 to 2925 of the family's 2925-position model. Lineage: Bacteria; Pseudomonadati; Campylobacterota; Epsilonproteobacteria; Campylobacterales; Campylobacteraceae. The record is from RNAcentral.
AAACGAUGUGAAGUUACUUAAACAACCAGGAGGUUGGCUUAGAAGCAGCCAUCCUUUAAAGAAAGCGUAAUAGCUCACUGGUCUAGUGAUUUUGCGCGGAAAAUAUAACGGGGCUAAAGUAAGUACCGAAGCUGUAGACUUGCGCACAACUUAGAUUAUUUAAGUUUAGAAUAUGAGAAACUAAGUUAUAUGUUUAGUUAUAUUUUUACUGAUUUUUAUAGAGUAAAGAUAGAAAUAAAACUUAGUAAAAUCAGUAAAAAUAUUCUUAGACUAAAGUUAAGUAGUUUAAGUUGUGUGCAAGUGGUAGGAGAGCGUUCUAUUUGCGUCGAAGGUAUACCGGUAAGGAGUGCUGGAGCGAAUAGAAGUGAGCAUGCAGGCAUGAGUAGCGAUAAUUAAUGUGAGAAUCAUUAACGCCGUAAACCCAAGGUUUCCUACGCGAUGCUCGUCAUCGUAGGGUUAGUCGGGUCCUAAGUCGAGUCCGAAAGGGGUAGACGAUGGCAAAUUGGUUAAUAUUCCAAUACCAACAUUAGUGUGCGAUGGAAGGACGCUUAGGGCUAAGGGGGCUAGCGGAUGGAAGUGCUAGUCUAAGGUCGUAGGAGGUUAUACAGGCAAAUCCGUAUAACAAUACUCCGAGAACUGAAAGGCUUUUUGAAGUCUUCGGAUGGAUAGAAGAACCCCUGAUGCCAUCGAGCCAAGAAAAGUUUCUAAGUUUAGCUAAUGUUGCCCGUACCGUAAACCGACACAGGUGGGUGGGAUGAGUAUUCUAAGGCGCGUGGAAGAACUCUCUUUAAGGAACUCUGCAAAAUAGCACCGUAUCUUCGGUAUAAGGUGUGGUUCGCUUCGUAUUAGGAUUUACUCCGAAAGCGAAGAAACUUACAACAAAGAGUCCCUCCCGACUGUUUACCAAAAACACAGCACUCUGCUAACUCGUAAGAGGAUGUAUAGGGUGUGACGCCUGCCCGGUGCUCGAAGGUUAAUUGAUGGGGUUAGCAUUAGCGAAGCUCUUGAUCGAAGCCCGAGUAAACGGCGGCCGUAACUAUAACGGUCCUAAGGUAGCGAAAUUCCUUGUCGGUUAAAUACCGACCUGCAUGAAUGGCGUAACGAGAUGGGAGCUGUCUCAAAGAGGGAUCCAGUGAAAUUGUAGUGGAGGUGAAAAUUCCUCCUACCCGCGGCAAGACGGAAAGACCCCGUGGACCUUUACUACAGCUUGACACUGCUAUUUGGAUAAGAAUGUGCAGGAUAGGUGGGAGGCUUUGAGUAUAUGACGCCAGUUGUAUAUGAGCCAUUGUUGAGAUACCACUCUUUCUUAUUUGGGUAGCUAACCAGCUUGAGUUAUCCUCAAGUGGGACAAUGUCUGGUGGGUAGUUUGACUGGGGCGGUCGCCUCCCAAAUAAUAACGGAGGCUUACAAAGGUUGGCUCAGAACGGUUGGAAAUCGUUCGUAGAGUAUAAAGGUAUAAGCCAGCUUAACUGCAAGACAUACAAGUCAAGCAGAGACGAAAGUCGGUCUUAGUGAUCCGGUGGUUCUGUGUGGAAGGGCCAUCGCUCAAAGGAUAAAAGGUACCCCGGGGAUAACAGGCUGAUCUCCCCCAAGAGCUCACAUCGACGGGGAGGUUUGGCACCUCGAUGUCGGCUCAUCGCAUCCUGGGGCUGGAGCAGGUCCCAAGGGUAUGGCUGUUCGCCAUUUAAAGCGGUACGCGAGCUGGGUUCAGAACGUCGUGAGACAGUUCGGUCCCUAUCUGCCGUGGGCGUAAGAAGAUUGAAGAGAUUUGACCCUAGUACGAGAGGACCGGGUUGAACAAACCACUGGUGUAGCUGUUGUUCUGCCAAGAGCAUCGCAGCGUAGCUAAGUUUGGAAAGGAUAAACGCUGAAAGCAUCUAAGCGUGAAGCCAACUCUAAGAUGAAUCUUCUCUAAGCUCUCUAGAAGACUACUAGUUUGAUAGGCUGGGUGUGUAAUGGAUGAAAGUCCUUUAGCUGACCAGUACUAAUAGAGCGUUUGGCUUAUCUUUAAUAAAGCAU